Molecule: transfer RNA, 62 nt
Filed under: Youtuus erythrus
Lineage: Eukaryota; Metazoa; Arthropoda; Insecta; Hemiptera; Caliscelidae
Description: tRNA-Tyr
Source: RNAcentral
AAUAGGAUGUCUGAUUAAAGUAAUGAAUUGUAAAUUUAUUUAAGGUUUAAAACCUCUUAUUA